AAUGAACGUUGGCGGCAUGGAUUAGGCAUGCAAGUCGAGCGAGAACCGUAGCAAUACGGGGAAAGCGGCGAAAGGGAGAGUAAUGUGUGGAUAUCUACCUCCAGGCCUGGGACAACUACGGGAAACUGUAGCUAAUACCAGAUAAUGUCUGCGGACCAAAGGUGUGAUUCCUCCGGGAGAUGAGUCCACAUCCUAUUAGCUAGUUGGUAGGGUAAUGGCCUACCAAGGCAAUGAUGGGUAGCAGGUGUGAGAGCACGACCUGCCUCAUUGGGACUGAGACACUGCCCAGACACCUACGGGUGGCUGCAGUCGAGAAUCUUCGGCAAUGGGCGCAAGCCUGACCGAGCGAUGCCGCGUGCGGGAUGAAGGCCUUCGGGUUGUAAACCGCUGUCAGAGGGGAUGAAAUACGUCGGGGGUUCUCCCCCGGGUUUGACAUAUCCUCAGAGGAAGGACGGGCUAAGUUCGUGCCAGCAGCCGCAGUAACAC
This 486-nucleotide ribosomal RNA is filed under the name uncultured bacterium. Its description in RNAcentral is "bacterial SSU rRNA". It matches the Rfam family "Bacterial small subunit ribosomal RNA", at positions 29 to 526 of the family's 1533-position model. The record is from RNAcentral.